GACGAACGCUGGCGGCGUGCCUAAUACAUGCAAGUAGAACGCUGAAGGAGGAGCUUGCUCUUCUGGAUGAGUUGCGAACGGGUGAGUAACGCGUAGGUAACCUGCCUGGUAGCGGGGGAUAACUAUUGGAAACGAUAGCUAAUACCGCAUAACAGUAGAUGUUGCAUGACAUUUACUUAAAAGGUGCAAUUGCAUCACUACCAGAUGGACCUGCGUUGUAUUAGCUAGUUGGUGGGGUAACGGCUCACCAAGGCGACGAUACAUAGCCGACCUGAGAGGGUGAUCGGCCACACUGGGACUGAGACACGGCCCAGACUCCUAAGGGAGGCAGCAGUAGGGAAUCUUCGGCAAUGGACGGAAGUCUGAACGAGUAACGCCGCGUGAGUGAAGAAGGUUUUCGGAUCGUAAAGCUCUGUUGUAAGAGAAGAACGAGUGUGAGAGUGGAAAGUUCACACUGUGACGGUAGCUGACCAGAAAGGGACGGCUAACUACGUG
Molecule: ribosomal RNA, 495 nt
Filed under: uncultured bacterium
Lineage: Bacteria
Description: partial 16S ribosomal RNA
Rfam family: Bacterial small subunit ribosomal RNA
Source: RNAcentral